CACAGACCCAGCAAGGUCAAGGCAAAAUCUGGGCCCUGACACCCGUCUCCCAAAGUGCCCGAUGACUCAGUACAGCGAUUUCUUUGGCUUUACAAAAGGGCGAGCAACUCUACUGUCAUCGUGCAAUUUUCAGGAGUCAUGGAAUCAAUGCAUGUUCUGGAAAGGGGGAAGCAAGUCUCUGCUUACAAAAGAUUGUUUUUGAUAAUCAGAAUGGAGAUGGAAAAGCGAAGGACUGAAAAAUAGCUCUCAGGAAAAUCCUGCCAUUUCAGGUGCUACAAGGAGGUAGAAUUAAGUCUCUUUUGAUUUGUAAGUACUUCAUGCAGUUGUACUGCCAAUUUUCUAUGUUUGCUCUAACAAGAACAUAUACGAAGAGUUCAUUGGAAUGUUUAUGCACUAAGCUUCAGAGGAUUGCAUUUGACAAUCAACCAUGGCAUGACAGGGGCUUUUUCAUUAGUGACAGAAUAACUGUAGUUUGUAAAACCAGUCUUGGGGCCACUAUUAGAAUUAUAUGUGUGUAUAAAACAUCUCUUUAAGCCCUUCAUUACUA
Molecule: long non-coding RNA, 547 nt
Organism: Serinus canaria (Common canary)
Lineage: Eukaryota; Metazoa; Chordata; Aves; Passeriformes; Fringillidae
Exons: 3
Source: RefSeq, a predicted model, not a curated record